GACGAACGCUGGCGGCGUGCCUAAUACAUGCAAGUAGAACGCACAGUUUAUACCGUAGCUUGCUACACCAUAGACUGUGAGUUGCGAACGGGUGAGUAACGCGUAGGUAACCUGCCUGGUAGCGGGUGAUAACUAUUGGAAACGAUAGCUAAUACCGCAUAAUAUUGAUUAUUGCAUGAUAAUUGAUUGAAAGCUGCUAUUGCAUCACUACCAGAUGGACCUGCGUUGUAUUAGCUAGUAGGUGAGGUAACGGCUCACCUAGGCGACGAUACAUAGCCGACCUGAGAGGGUGAUCGGCCACACUGGGACUGAGACACGGCCCAGACUCCUACGGGAGGCAGCAGUAGGGAAUCUUCGGCAAUGGACGAAAGUCUGACCGAGCAACGCCGCGUGAGUGAAGAAGGUUUUCGGAUCGUAAAGCUCUGUUGUAAGAGAAGAACGGGUGUGAGAGUGGAAAGUUCACACUGUGACGGUAUCUUACCAGAAAGGGACGGCUAACUACGUG
This 505-nucleotide ribosomal RNA is filed under the name uncultured bacterium. Its description in RNAcentral is "partial 16S ribosomal RNA". It matches the Rfam family "Bacterial small subunit ribosomal RNA", at positions 28 to 507 of the family's 1533-position model. The record is from RNAcentral.